UUUAACCUACGGGGCGCAGCAGUGAGGAAUAUUGGUCAAUGGGCGAGAGCCUGAACCAGCCAAGCCGCGUGAAGGACGAAGGUGCCAAGCAUUGUAAACUUCUUUUGUCAAGGGACAAAAUCAGGCUCGAGAGCCUGACCGAGGGUACUUGAAGAAAAAGCAUCGGCUAACUCCGUGCCAGCAGCCGCGGUAAUACGGAGGAUGCGAGCGUUAUCCGGAUUUAUUGGGUUUAAAGGGUGCGUAGGCGGACUGUUAAGUCAGCGGUAAAAGCCCGGGGCUCAACCCCGGCGAGCCGUUGAAACUGG
This 305-nucleotide ribosomal RNA is filed under the name uncultured bacterium. Its description in RNAcentral is "bacterial SSU rRNA". It matches the Rfam family "Bacterial small subunit ribosomal RNA", at positions 333 to 636 of the family's 1533-position model. The record is from RNAcentral.